RNAcentral lists this ribosomal RNA (374 nucleotides) under uncultured bacterium. RNAcentral's name for it is "bacterial SSU rRNA". It matches the Rfam family "Bacterial small subunit ribosomal RNA", at positions 28 to 412 of the family's 1533-position model. The record is from RNAcentral.
GAUGAACGCUGGCGGCGUGCCUAACACAUGCAAGUCGAGCGAUUCUCUUCGGAGAAGAGCGGCGGACGGGUGAGUAACGCGUGGGUAACCUGCCCUGUACACACGGAUAACAUACCGAAAGGUAUGCUAAUACGAGAUAAUAUACUUUUAUCGCAUGGUAGAAGUAUCAAAGCUCCGGCGGUACAGGAUGGACCCGCGUCUGAUUAGCUAGUUGGUAAGGUAACGGCUUACCAAGGCGACGAUCAGUAGCCGACCUGAGAGGGUGAUCGGCCACAUUGGAACUGAGACACGGUCCAAACUCCUACGGGAGGCAGCAGUGGGGAAUAUUGCACAAUGGGCGAAGCCUGAUGCAGCAACGCCGCGUGAGCGAUGAA